This 253-nucleotide ribosomal RNA is filed under the name uncultured bacterium. RNAcentral's name for it is "partial 16S ribosomal RNA". It matches the Rfam family "Bacterial small subunit ribosomal RNA", at positions 524 to 776 of the family's 1533-position model. The record is from RNAcentral.
UACGGGGGGGGCAAGCGUUGUUCGGAAUGACUGGGCGUAAAGGGCUCGUAGGUGGCCAACUAAGUCGGACGUGAAAUCCCUCAGCUUAACUGGGGAACUGCGUCCGAUACUGGAUGGCUUGAGUUUGGGAGAGGGAUGCGGAAUUCCAGGUGUAGCGGUGAAAUGCGUAGAUAUCUGGAGGAACACCGGUGGCGAAGGCGGCGAUCUGGACGAUGACUGACGCUGAGACGCGAAAGCGUGGGGAGCAAACAGG